Molecule: small RNA, 114 nt
Filed under: Salmonella enterica subsp. enterica serovar Heidelberg str. B182
Lineage: Bacteria; Pseudomonadati; Pseudomonadota; Gammaproteobacteria; Enterobacterales; Enterobacteriaceae
Description: TPP
Source: RNAcentral
AUGCCGGAAUAUCCCCGGCAUGAGCGACUGAUGAGUAACCCGGAGCUUGAUGGCGCUACGCUUAUCAGGCCUACAGAAUAUAAUGGCAACCGGGUGAUAUUGCAUAACCUGUAG